GUCUCAGUGAUGGUGAUCUGCACUUUCAGAACACUGCAUGCUGCCCCACAUCUUUCUACCUGCCUUUGCUCCGAGUGUGUCCACUGCCUGAAAGGCCCAUCCUAGUACCAGAUCCCCCAGAUGAAACCCCCAUGGUUCCCCAGCUAAGUCUUCCCACUGAGGGUUCAUUUAAGACCUGCCUCUCCUUGACUGCUAUAAGUUACCCGGCUGCCCGUACUCACACAGACACAAAAUUUGCCUGGAAAUUGUUGCAGAAUCCUCUCUGUCUUCAUUCACUUGGUGGCCAUUUUAGCAGCUUUCUCAACAACAUCUUUAAAAAUCCCAAGGACUUAACUUGACGACCAUGUGUCUUCCCAGCUGAUAUGAAUAAAUAUAAUACAUAGAAACAUACAGAAAACAUCCGAGAAAGGAUCAAUUCUUUCCAACUGGAAGAAUCACAUUUGUCUUCAUGGAUUUCUGUGGGAAGAGGAACUAGAAGAAAGACAACUGUCUGUGAGAGGAACUGCCCAGGCAAAAAAAAAUAAAGUAUGAUAUGGUUGGCAACUCA
This is a long non-coding RNA of Suricata suricatta (meerkat), 547 nucleotides long. RefSeq lists it as uncharacterized. NCBI's taxonomy places the organism in Eukaryota, Metazoa, Chordata, Mammalia, Carnivora, Herpestidae. The record is from RefSeq and is a predicted model, not a curated record. The transcript has 3 exons.